CUACGGUGGGCUGCAGUGAGGAAUAUUGCGCAAUGGAGGCAACUCUGACGCAGCCAUGCCGCGUGAAGGAAGACGGCCCUACGGGUUGUAAACUUCUUUUCUUAGCUAAGAAUUAUUGCUACGUGUAGUGAUUUGACUAGCUUUGGAAUAAGCAUCGGCUAACUCCGUGCCAGGCAGCCGCGGUAAUACGGAGGAUGCAAGCGUUAUCCGGAUUCACUAGGUUUAAAGGGUGCGUAGGCGGGACAGUAAGUCAGUGGUGAAAUCUUGCGGCUUAACCGUAAAAUAGCCAUUGAUACUGUUGUCCUUGAGUUCGGGUGAGGUAGGCGGAAUGAGUAAUGUAGCGGUGAAAUGCUUAGAUAUUACUCAGAACACCGAUUGCGAAGGCAGCUUACUAAACCGAUACUGACGCUGAGUCACGAAAGCGUGGGGAGCGAACAGGAUUAGAUACCCCUGUAGUC
RNAcentral lists this ribosomal RNA (458 nucleotides) under uncultured bacterium. RNAcentral's name for it is "partial 16S ribosomal RNA". It matches the Rfam family "Bacterial small subunit ribosomal RNA", at positions 339 to 795 of the family's 1533-position model. The record is from RNAcentral.